Myotis davidii is the source of this 71-nucleotide non-coding RNA. Lineage: Eukaryota; Metazoa; Chordata; Mammalia; Chiroptera; Vespertilionidae. The record is from Rfam.
GCCGGUGCGGCUCAGUGGUUGAGCAUCAACCUAUGAAGCAGGAGGUCAGGGUUCGAUUCCCUGUCAGGGCA